Non-coding RNA from Triticum aestivum (bread wheat), 120 nucleotides. The record is from Rfam. NCBI's taxonomy places the organism in Eukaryota, Viridiplantae, Streptophyta, Magnoliopsida, Poales, Poaceae.
UACAUAGUCCCUCCGUCUGAAAAUACUUGUCGGAGGAUGUAUCUAGACGUAUUUUAGUUCUAGAUACAUCUAUUUUUAUCCAUUUCUCCGACAAGUAUGUCUGGAUGGAGGGAGUACUUA